Molecule: long non-coding RNA, 1309 nt
Organism: Oncorhynchus keta (chum salmon)
Lineage: Eukaryota; Metazoa; Chordata; Actinopteri; Salmoniformes; Salmonidae
Exons: 6
Source: RefSeq, a predicted model, not a curated record
CAAUGUGUCAGAGCAGGAACAAUGACUACAUCCCUUAAUUUAGAGCAUCUCCGACUGGGCUGCUAGAUGGGCUUCAUAUACACCAUGCAGAGGGGAAAUGAUCAAAUACAGACCAGAUAUAGAAACAUACCCAAUGAGGAGGAAAUGAAGCAGACAAAAAAAUAUGUUUGCAUCAACUCAAUGAGCUGUGUUGGGAAGACAACGCUGUUGAUUGACAUUUUAACGGAGCAACACAGAAAGAGAAUCGGCUGUCAUACUCAAUGAAUUUGGAGAAGGAGGCGCUCUGGAGAAGUCUCGAGCUGUGAGCCAUGCAGGAGAGCUGUAUGAGGAAUGGCUGGAGGUCAGGAACGGCUGCCUCUGCUGCUCCGUCAAGUAUAGUCACAGUCAUCCACGCAACAUACGGAAUACAGGUCUCUAAAUGAUCUGGUCAAGAUUCUGGAAAUGGAGAAACCUGGAUAAAGAGAUCCUACAGGAACAGUUCAUCUCAACAGUACUAAAGGUGGGGGACAGGAACUAAACAAGAACUCCUCCCUCUCUCUCCUCAUGGUGAACUAUUCCAGUUUAUUCCUGAUACACUUCACAUUUGGACCUACCUACUGCAAUUGUGUUAAUCCUCAUAAUUCUGGUGUUCCACUUCAGUCCAGGAGGACCUCAAAACGUUAUGGUAUUUACUGUUAAUGAUGACUACAUGCCCAAUCUGAUAAGCAUCUUAUUGACUACAAUACAGUAAGGUUUUACGGAGGACCAAUUGUUGAGACUUGGUGUAAUUGGGCCCCUUGCUCAGGGGCCAGAUGCUAUGAGGAAACAUUAGAUUAGUGUGUGAAUGGACUUAAUCCAUAAUCAACCAUGUUAGCUAUCUCAUUACCCAGUGAUAUACCCGACCCUCAAAGCGACAACUUGAGAAUAGAGAUGUGAUUAGCGCCCUUACUGUCAUUUUCUCUGUAAAUGAUUUGAAACUUUGGAAACCCUUAACAAUACACCCCUAACAAUUAAUACCUUAUUAAUUGAAGUUUGAGGGUAUUCCUCAAUAGUUAGGCUGUUUUUAGGUCUGUAAGUUGUUGGUGAAGUUAAGGUUUUGUACAGACUUUUAUCACAUCUCAAAAGUGGUACAACACAAAAUUAGGCUGGUCUGUAAAUGUCCACGCGCUUGACUAUUAGCUUGUGAAUACGUUUGUUUAAAUUAUUGAAAUAAACAAGAAUCUGAUUUUAAAGAUAGGUGUUUACAAUAUUUAAUGUUUCACUAUUUUUAAGUAUUGACUGCCAUUUUGUUGUAAUGGCUAAUAAUUGUGAACUAGCGAAUUGAUUUAAA